RNAcentral lists this ribosomal RNA (117 nucleotides) under Candidatus Cloacimonadota bacterium. The record is from RNAcentral. Lineage: Bacteria; Pseudomonadati; Candidatus Cloacimonadota.
UUUGGUUCUUAUUGCGAUGUGGAGACACCUGUUCCCAUCCCGAACACAGUCGUUAAGCACAUUUGCGCCGAUGGUACUGUUCUGGCAACGGAAUGGAAGAGUAGGUAUUAGCCAAUU